UAUAUACUCCGUCCAUCCGAAAAUACUUGUCAGAGGAAUGGAAACAUCUAGAUGUAUUUUAGUUCUAGAUACAUCCAUUUUUAUAAAUUUGUGCGACAUGUAAUUUCGAACGGAGGGAGUAGUAU
Non-coding RNA from Hordeum vulgare subsp. vulgare (domesticated barley), 125 nucleotides. The record is from Rfam. NCBI's taxonomy places the organism in Eukaryota, Viridiplantae, Streptophyta, Magnoliopsida, Poales, Poaceae.